AGAAUAUUUUUCCCAUUAAUUACAGUAAUUAUGUUCAUCAGCACUUCGUUCAAACCAUAAAACUUUGUUUCCUUUUCCUUACACCCAUUUAGGUAUGUUAUCUACAUGGCUAUUUUUAAGCCUUCUGGAGAUUAUGCAUUGUAAUAUGCUGAGCUUUUAUUGUCUAAACAUUUUUAGUGAACAGAUCAUAUGUUCCAGAUACUGAGCCAUAUCAGCACUGUGUUCACAUACAGAAGCUCUGCUACAAUCUUCGAUGCCUGGAUUUAGCCAGUAAAAUUUGACAUGUUAGUCUAGGCAAAGGAAGCUGACUGGUUGCAUGAUGUUACUUACAGUGUAAGUAUGUCUAGAUUGUGAGAAGCUGUGUGCCACUAGACAUUUCCUUUCUGUCUUUGCACAGGGAUAACAGGAAAGUAUGGAGAAAUAGCUGUUGGUUAUUUUAUUGUUAUUAUUAUUAUUUAGUAUUAGAUACUUCUGUAUCUUUGUCCUCUUUGGAGAUGCUUGAACCUUUAGAAAAAUGAAGAGCUGUGAUGGCCAUGAGCCUUUACUAGACUGAUGUAAUCAGCAGCAUUUAUACAAAUCUUUCACUGCAACUGACAGUUGUGUAUGUUUUUCCCUAUGUCAGGUCGCCAUUGCUUUGUUGGACAGUCAACUACGGAAAGCAAAUCUUUUGUAUCUCUAGACCAAAAAGCUUUUGAGAAGUACCGGCACUUCUUGGCUGGCUGUGUACAGUGUGCCAUCCAAAUUAUAGUACAGGAUUAGUAUGUGUGUCCAAUGAAACUGCAGAAUUAUGGAAAGUAAGAUAUGGUCGUGAACACUAGCUCUUGUUUACAUGAUGCCUCUCUGCACCAUUGUAGCAAUGUGAAGAUGAAAAGGUGGGUAUAAUAGAUCCCUGUGCUCAGAGCUAGGUAUUAAAGCAGCUUGUAAAGCCAGCCAGCAUUUAAAUGUGGAGUGAGUGUACAUGAAAUGAUGGAGUGAAGGGAAAUGAAAAUAAUCUCAUAUACUUCUUAUUCUUUUCUACACUGGCACCUUUUUAAAAGUCCUUCUCUAAUGUUUGUUUAAAUUUUCUUCCAAUUUCUUGCUUCCAUUCUUCUUCCGCCGCCUUCUUUCUCUCAUUCUUUAGCACAGCUUAUCAUAGAAUCACAGAAUCACAGAACUGUAGGGGUUGGAAGGACCUUCAGAGAUCACUGAGUCCAAUGAAAGCAGGCCCCCUUCAACAAGCUGCAUAAGUAGGUGUCCAGGCGAGUCUUGAAUAUCUCCAGAGAAGGAGAAUCCACAACUGCCAUGGACAGCCUGUUCCAGUGCUCCGUCACCCUUACUAUGAAGAAGUUCCUUCACAUAUUGAUGCAGAACUUCCUAUGCUCAAGUUUAUGGCCAUUUCCCUUUGUCCUGUCCCUACAGAUAGCUGAGAAGAAGCUGGCCAUGUCCCUCUGACUCCCACACUUAAGAUAUUUAUAAACAUGAAUAAGAUCACCUCUGAGUCAUCUUCUCUCAAGGCUGAACAGACUCAGUUCGCUCAGCUUUUCCUCAAAGGGGAGAUGCUCGAGGCCCUUUAUCAUCCUUGUGCCCCUCAGUUGGGCUCUCUCCAGGAGAUCCCUGUCUUUUUGUACUGGGGAGCCCAGAACUGGAUACAGUACUCCAGGUGAGGCCUGAUCAGGGCAGAGAAGAGGGGGAGGAUCACCUCCCUUGAACUGCUGGCCACACUCCUUUUAAUGCACCCCAGGAUGCCAUUGGCCUUCUUGGUCACCAGGGCACACUACUGGGUCAUGGACAGCCUGUCAUCCAUCAGGACCCCCAGGUCCUUUUCUGCAGAGCAUCUCUCCAGCAGGUGAUGUCCCCUCAUCUUAUCUAAUGGAAUCUGAAGCAAGUGGAGCAAAGAGCAAACAUAUUCUUGAUGUCUGAAAUUAGCACCUUGGGCCGUGGGCCAGAAGUGUCUGUGUUACAAGCCAGGAAGAAAUAAUUCAAGCCUUCAGAUGGCGACAUGCCCUGAAAAGGUCUGUCUAGGCUUUGCUAGGAAGUAUAGUGAGGAAGAGCAAGAACAUGGCAUCAGUCCAGCUAGCUCUAGUGGCUGGUUGGAGUCCUUAAUGCCUGUACACAUAGGAGAGGAUACUGUCCUUGUCUUUGGCUCAUUAGUCCAAAAUAAAAAUGAGCAGCAGUGACAGUACCAUGUGUGUCUACGGCAGAGGCACGCAGCACCAGUUUUAUCUGGUCUGGGUAUGCUGAACCACAAAAUGUCAUUGUAUGGUAUCCAUUAACAAAGUUAUCAUCAGCUUUCUUUUUAAAAUGGAGUCAUGCUACAAAGUGUUUUUUGCAUAUGCCUCUGUUCCCAUUCUUACUCUGCCUCUUUUUGCUUUCUGAAAAUGUUCAUGUUCUACAUCUCUGGCCACAGGAAAAUAUGGCUAUUCUACAGUUGACUUCUCUCAACUUCUGUUCAGAACUUGAUUUUUUGUCAUGCAGAUUUGUUUUAGGGCUGCAGUCUAAAUUAACCUGAACUUAGUUCAAUGUAUUCUGAGCAGAGUCAUUGGGAAUUCAGCUUGAUGGUAGCUGUGUGAGUGUUUGAGGGUGGAAUCUGGUUCUUAGAUUUGUAAGUGAUUUUUGAGAUUAUCUAAAAACUGGAUGUGUAUGUUAUAUACAUCAUUGUGACUAAAGGAAACAAAGGGAAUGGAGCGCAUUACCUCAUUUCUUAAAUCUUAGAAGAUUAAAGUUGAUUCUUAAGUAUU
Molecule: long non-coding RNA, 2717 nt
Organism: Gallus gallus (chicken)
Lineage: Eukaryota; Metazoa; Chordata; Aves; Galliformes; Phasianidae
Source: Ensembl